RNAcentral lists this ribosomal RNA (684 nucleotides) under uncultured bacterium. Its description in RNAcentral is "bacterial SSU rRNA". It matches the Rfam family "Bacterial small subunit ribosomal RNA", at positions 9 to 541 of the family's 1533-position model. The record is from RNAcentral.
GAGUUUGAUCCUGGCUCAGAGUGAACGCUGGCGGCGUGCCUAAUACAUGCAAGUCGAACGAUGAAGCUUCUAGCUUGCUAGAAGUGGAUUAGUGGCGCACGGGUGAGUAAUGCAUAGGUUAUGUGCCCUUUAGUCUGGGAUAGCCACUGGAAACGGUGAUUAAUACUGGAUACUCCCUACGGGGGAAAGGGGCUUUCAAUAAAGAAUCUCUCUUUUUAGUGUUUUGUGUUGUUGGCACAAAAUUCUAGUAUUUGGAAUGAGAAAUUGAUGUUGUGAAGCAAUUUGUGCGGAGACUAGACUUAGUGUCUGUCGCACAAGCAAAUUGCGAACUCAUCGAUUUAUCGUCCAAAGACGAAUUUUUUAUUGAAAGCCUUCGCUAAAGGAUCAGCCUAUGUCCUAUCAGCUUGUUGGUGAGGUAAUGGCUCACCAAGGCUAUGACGGGUAUCCGGCCUGAGAGGGUGAUCGGACACACUGGAACUGAGACACGGUCCAGACUCCUACGGGAGGCAGCAGUAGGGAAUAUUGCUCAAUGGGGGAAACCCUGAAGCAGCAACGCCGCGUGGAGGAUGAAGGUUUUAGGAUUGUAAACUCCUUUUGUAAGAGAAGAUUAUGACGGUAUCUUAAGAAUAANCACCGGCUAACUCCCGUGCCAGCAGCCGCCGUAAUACNGAGGGGUGCCAGCGU